Molecule: ribosomal RNA, 60 nt
Filed under: Hyotissa hyotis
Lineage: Eukaryota; Metazoa; Mollusca; Bivalvia; Ostreida; Gryphaeidae
Also listed under: 1 other name
Description: partial 28S ribosomal RNA
Source: RNAcentral
AUCCGACCUCAGAUCAGGCGGGACUACGCCCUGAAUUUAAGCAUAUCAAUAAGCGGAGGA